This 119-nucleotide ribosomal RNA is filed under the name Pteropus alecto (black flying fox). Lineage: Eukaryota; Metazoa; Chordata; Mammalia; Chiroptera; Pteropodidae. The record is from RNAcentral.
GUCUAUGGCCAUGCUACCCUGAACAAACCCAAUCCCGGCUGAUCUCAGAAGCUAAGCAGGGCGAGGCCUGGUUAUUACUUGGAUGUGAGACCACCUAGAAAGACCAGGUGCUAUAGGCA